This is a non-coding RNA of Caenorhabditis elegans, 201 nucleotides long. The record is from Ensembl. NCBI's taxonomy places the organism in Eukaryota, Metazoa, Nematoda, Chromadorea, Rhabditida, Rhabditidae.
ACGCUUGGGGAGGUUCGGUUGGGGAUUCAAGCGGAGGAUUUGAUACGAAAAACGAGAACGAUGGCAAACAUCAAUCAACGACGACAACAAGUGCGGUUGGCUGAGGCAAACAGCGGGCGCUACCGUAAGCUUAAAGCACAUAUGCGCAUGUUUAACAGAUAAUAAUAAGAAUAAUAAUAAUAACAAGAGCCGCCGCGCUUU